GGACUACCCGGGUAUCUAAUCCUGUUUGCUCCCCUAGCUUUCGUGCCUCAGUGUCAGAAGUUGUCCAGAGACUCGCCUUCGCCACUGGUGUUCCACUUGAUAUCUACGCAUUUCACUGCUACACCAAGUAUUCCAGUCUCCCCUCCAACUCUCGAGCGAGAUAGUAUUCAAUGCAGUUUCCGGGUUAAGCCCGGAGAUUUCACAUCAAACUUACCUUGCCACCUACGCACCCUUUACGCCCAGUGAAUCCGAACAACGCUUGGGACCUCUGUAUUACCGCGGCGGCUGGCAC
Molecule: ribosomal RNA, 292 nt
Filed under: uncultured bacterium
Lineage: Bacteria
Also listed under: 1 other name
Description: partial 16S ribosomal RNA
Source: RNAcentral